GGGCAGCCACCCAGAGUGACACUGGAACUAUCAAAAGAAUCAAGCAUGGAUGAUAGAGGCUGAGGGCAGUCUGCCUGAUAAAAUGGCAUGAUCCUUUGCCAAGUUUCUAGACGUGAGUCAGUUUUCAGGCCUGAAACCCUUUGGUUGAAGAAGAGGACAGAUCUCCAGGAGGAAGGACCAUGUAACAUCAUGGGGACUUCACAAUGGCUGAAUACCAGGAGGCAAGAAGCAUUGUGACCAUUCUGGAGGCUGGCUACCACACUUGGGAUUAUACCACUCUGCCCUCUGUCACAGUCUGAAAAGAUCUGGACCAUCUACCAUCUGGGCAUCCACAGAACAUCUCAUUGAUUCUCUACUUUGAUGGCAUCAUGCUAAUCAAGUAGAUUAGUGAGAAAUGACUGGCAUGUUGGAGGCCUUGAAAGAAAAAUGCACUGCAAGGAGUAGGAGAUAAUCCAUAUGAAGAUCCAAGGACCCGCCACAUGAGAACAACUUUGAGAGCCCAAGGGUCGAGGGCAUGUGGGUCAUAUCAUCCAAAAUAAAAGAUGAAUGAUCACAUCUUGCACCUCCUACAUGAGGAGGGAAGCACAAUACCUGAUAGAACUCUUCAG
Molecule: long non-coding RNA, 608 nt
Filed under: Equus asinus (donkey)
Lineage: Eukaryota; Metazoa; Chordata; Mammalia; Perissodactyla; Equidae
Description: lncRNA (ENSEASG00005025833.1)
Source: RNAcentral